RNAcentral lists this ribosomal RNA (253 nucleotides) under uncultured bacterium. RNAcentral describes it as "partial 16S ribosomal RNA". It matches the Rfam family "Bacterial small subunit ribosomal RNA", at positions 524 to 776 of the family's 1533-position model. The record is from RNAcentral.
UACAGAGGGUGCAAGCGUUAUCCGGAAUUACUGGGCGUAAAGCGUGCGUAGACGGUUACAUAAGUCGGGUGUGAAAGCCCCGGGCUCAACCUGGGAAUUGCAUUCGAGACUGCGUAGCUAGGGUGCGGAAGAGGGAAGCGGAAUUUCCGGUGUAGCGGUGAAAUGCGGAGAUAUCAAGAGGAACACCUGAGGUGAAGACGGGUUGCUGGGCUGAAACUGACGCUGAGGCGCGAAAGCCAGGGGAGCAAACAGG